This 484-nucleotide ribosomal RNA is filed under the name uncultured bacterium. Its description in RNAcentral is "partial 16S ribosomal RNA". It matches the Rfam family "Bacterial small subunit ribosomal RNA", at positions 30 to 507 of the family's 1533-position model. The record is from RNAcentral.
AUUGAACGCUGGCGGCAGGCCUAACACAUGCAAGUCGAGCGGAUGAAGGGAGCUUGCUCCUGGAUUCAGCGGCGGACGGGUGAGUAAUGCCUAGGAAUCUGCCUGGUAGUGGGGGAUAACGUCCGGAAACGGGCGCUAAUACCGCAUACGUCCUGAGGGAGAAAGUGGGGGAUCUUCGGACCUCACGCUAUCAGAUGAGCCUAGGUCGGAUUAGCUAGUUGGUGGGGUAAAGGCCUACCAAGGCGACGAUCCGUAACUGGUCUGAGAGGAUGAUCAGUCACACUGGAACUGAGACACGGUACAGACUCCUACGGGAGGCAGAAGUGGGAAAUAUUGGACAAUGGGCGAAAGCCUGAUCCAGCCAUGCCGCGUGUGUGAAGAAGGUCUUCGGAUUGUAAAGCACUUUAAGUUGGGAGGAAGGGCAGUAAGUUAAUACCUUGCUGUUUUGACGUUACCAACAGAAUAAGCACCGGCUAACUUCGUG